AGUCGAACGGUCUUUUAGGAGACAGUGGCGGACGGGUGAGUAACGCGUAAGAAUCUACCUUCAGGUUGGGGACAACCACUGGAAACGGUGGCUAAUACCGAAUGUGCCGAGAGGUGAAAGGCUUGCUGCCUGAAGAAGAGCUUGCGUCUGAUUAGCUAGUUGGUAGUGUAAGGGACUACCAAGGCGACGAUCAGUAGCUGGUCUGAGAGGAUGAUCAGCCACACUGGGACUGAGACACGGCCCAGACUCCUACGGGAGGCAGCAGUGGGGAAUUUUCCGCAAUGGGCGAAAGCCUGACGGAGCAAUACCGCGUGAGGGAGGAAGGCUCUUGGGUUGUAAACCUCUUUUCUCAGGGAAGAACAGAAUGACGGUACCUGAGGAAUAAGCAUCGGCUAACUCCGUGCCAGCAGCCGCGGUAAUACGGAGGAUGCAAGCGUUAUCCGGAAUGAUUGGGCGUAAAGGGUCCGCAGGUGGCAUUGUAAGUCUGCUGUUAAAGAGUUUGGCUCAACCAAAUAAGAGCAGUGGAAACUACAAAGCUAGAGUGUGGUCGGGGCAGAGGGAAUUCCUGGUGUAGCGGUGAAAUGCGUAGAUAUCAGGAAGAACACCAGUGGCGAAGGCGCUCUGCUAGGCCGAGACUGACACUGAGGGACGAAAGCUAGGGGAGCGAAUGGGAUUAGAUACCCCAGUAGUCCUAGCCGUAAACGAUGGAUACUAGGCGUAGCUCGUAUCGACCCGAGCUGUGCCGGAGCUAACGCGUUAAGUAUCCCGCCUGGGGAGUACGCANGCAACUGUGAAACUCAAAGGAAUUGACGGGGGCCCGCACAAGCGGUGGAGUAUGUGGUUUAAUUCGAUGCAACGCGAAGAACCUUACCAAGGCUUGACAUGUCACGAAUCCUGUGGAAACAUGGGANUGCCUUCGGGA
This 922-nucleotide ribosomal RNA is filed under the name uncultured bacterium. Its description in RNAcentral is "bacterial SSU rRNA". It matches the Rfam family "Bacterial small subunit ribosomal RNA", at positions 60 to 1025 of the family's 1533-position model. The record is from RNAcentral.